GCAGGUUUUCACUACGCUGCAAAGUGGGACCGACCGACAUUACUGCCGUUCUCAUGGACAACGCAGGGCUUUUCUUCCAUGGCUAAGAGUAUUCAGAUCCAGUAUCUGGUUGUCUGUGGGAUUCUGCUGCGUAUUACAUGUGGAGAUGAAUUGAUGUCAAUCAACACACCUCUGGGUAUGAAUGUUACGCUGGACUGUAUCUCAUCUGAUAAUUUAGUGAAAAUUGAAUGGACAAAGGAUGGAAUACAGCUGUUUUUACAUAGUCCGCUAUGGGAAACAAAAAACAAAACAAAAACAAA
This is a long non-coding RNA of Clupea harengus (Atlantic herring), 299 nucleotides long. RefSeq lists it as uncharacterized. The transcript is spliced from 2 exons. Lineage: Eukaryota; Metazoa; Chordata; Actinopteri; Clupeiformes; Clupeidae. The record is from RefSeq and is a predicted model, not a curated record.